AGUAACACGUGGGUAACCUGCCCAUCAGAGGGGGAUAACAUUCGGAAACGGAUGCUAAAACCGCAUAGGUCCUUUAACCGCAUGGUUGAAGGAGGAAAAGAGGCGCAAGCUUCUGCUGAUGGAUGGACCCGCGGUGCAUUAGCUAGUUGGUGAGGUAACGGCUCACCAAGGCCGUAAUGCAUAGCCGACCUGAGAGGGUGAUCGGCCACAUUGGGACUGAGACACGGCCCAA
This 232-nucleotide ribosomal RNA is filed under the name uncultured bacterium. RNAcentral describes it as "partial 16S ribosomal RNA". It matches the Rfam family "Bacterial small subunit ribosomal RNA", at positions 109 to 334 of the family's 1533-position model. The record is from RNAcentral.